RNAcentral lists this long non-coding RNA (201 nucleotides) under Gossypium barbadense (sea-island cotton). RNAcentral describes it as "long non-coding RNA (GBAR_LNC015591)". Lineage: Eukaryota; Viridiplantae; Streptophyta; Magnoliopsida; Malvales; Malvaceae. The record is from RNAcentral.
AAAAAGUUGUAGCAGCCAAGAGGUAAAAGAAGAUGAUGGGGAAAGAAAAUUUCUAAGGACAAAAAAAUAAAUGAAAAGGUUUUUAAAGAUAUAAAAUGAAAUGGAAAAUAAUUAAAAAGGGAACAGCUUUUCAAACCAAGGAGAGUGACACAUGGCAGCACGCGAGUGGCCAGUGCUACCACGUCAAUAAAAUUGUUGGCG